GUGGGGAAUAUUGGACAAUGGGCGAAAGCCUGAUCCAGCCAUGCCGCGUGUGUGAAGAAGGUCUUCGGAUUGUAAAGCACUUUAAGUUGGGAGGAAGGGCAGUAAGUUAAUACCUUGCUGUUUUGACGUUACCGACAGAAUAAGCACCGGCUAACUUCGUGCCAGCAGCCGCGGUAAUACGAAGGGUGCAAGCGUUAAUCGGAAUUACUGGGCGUAAAGCGCGCGUAGGUGGUUUUGUAAGUUGGAGGUGAAAUCCCCGGGCUCAACCUGGGAACUGACUCCAAAACUGCUGAGCUAGAGUACGGUAGAGAGUGGUGGAAUUUCCUGUGUAGCGGUGAAAUGCGUAGAUAUAGGAAGGAACACCAGUGGCGAAGGCGACCACCUGGACUGAUACUGACACUGAGGUGCGAAAGCGUGGGGAGCAAACAGGAUUAGAAACCCGGGUAGUCC
This 450-nucleotide ribosomal RNA is filed under the name uncultured bacterium. RNAcentral's name for it is "partial 16S ribosomal RNA". It matches the Rfam family "Bacterial small subunit ribosomal RNA", at positions 354 to 796 of the family's 1533-position model. The record is from RNAcentral.